AACGUAUCCACCGCCGGAAGGACCACCGUCGCCUGAUACGCCGUCGCCACCGCCGCCGUCGCCGCCGCCACCGCCGCCGCCUCCGUCGUCACCGCCGCCGUCGCCGCCGCCACCGCCGCCGCCGUCACCGCCGCCACCAUCCCCGCAAGACGAUGAUGGCAAUGAUGAUGAUAAUCCUAAGACCAAGCCGCCUCCUAGGACACGAUCCCCGCAAGAAUCGAAGCCCUCGUCGCCCCAGCCCAACGCUCCAUCACCACCGCCCAAGAAGUCGGUUCGACCACCACCCAAACGCAAAGGCAAUGAUGACCGCCGUCGCUCGCUUCUAGACCCAGCCACCUAUCCACCUCCGCCGUCGCCGUCGUCGCCUGAUACGCCGUCGCUACCGCCGCCGUCGCCUCCGCCGCCGUCGCCCGCCGUCGCCCCGCCGCCGUCGCCUCCGCCGCCGUCGCCACCGCCGCCGCCGCCGCCAUCACCCCGUCCACCAUCGCCGCAAGACGAUGAUGGCAAUGAUGAUGAUAGCCCUAAGACCAAGCCGCCCCCUAGGACACGAUCCCCGCAAAAUCGAAGCCCUCGUCGCCCCAGCCCAACGCUCCAUCACCACCGCCCAAGAAGUCGGUUCGACCACCACCCAAACGCAAAGGCAAUGAUGACCGCCGUCGCUCGCUUCUAGACCCAGCCACCUAUCCACCUCCGCUGUCGCCGUCGUCGCCUCCUACGCCGUCGCUACCGCCGCCGUCGCCACCGCCGCCGUCGCCUCCGCCGCCGUCGCCACCGCCGCCGCCGCCGCCAUCACCCCGUCCACCGUCGCCGCAAGAGGAUGAUGAUGACCAUGAUAGCCCUAAAACCAAGCCGCCCCCUAGGACACGAUCCCCGCCAAAAUCGAAGCCCUCGUCGCCGCCACCCAACGCUCCAUCACCACCGCCCAAGAAGUCGGUUCGACCACCACCCAAACGCAAAGGCAAUGAUGACCGCCGUCGCUCGCUUCUAGACCCAGCCACCUAUCCACCUCCGCCGUCGCCGUCGUCGCCUGAUACGCCGUCGCUACCGCCGCCGUCGCCUCCGCCGCCGUCGCCUCCGCCGCCGUCGCCACCGCCGCCGCCGCCGCCAUCACCCCGUCCACCGUCGCCGCAAGAGGAUGAUGAUGACCAUGAUAGCCCUAAAACCAAGCCGCCCCCUAAGACUCGAUCCCCGCCAAAAUCGAAGCCCUCGUCGCCGCCACCCAACGCUCCAUCACCACCGCCCAAGAAGUCGGUUCGACCACCACCCAAACGCAAAGGCAAUGAUGACCGCCGUCGCUCGCUUCUAGACCCAGCCACCUAUCCACCUCCGCCGUCGCCGUCGUCGCCUGAUACGCCGUCGCUACCGCCGCCGUCGCCACCGCCGCCGUCGCCACCACCACCGCCGCCGCCACCACCGCCAUCGCCACCGCCGCCGUCACCAUCACCGCUAUCGCCACCACCAUCGCCACGGCCGCCGCUGCCACCGCUACCGCCAUCUCCGCGACGGGAUGACGGCAAUGACAAUGACAAGCCGAAGCCCCGACCACCCCCUAAGGCGAAGCCGUCACCACCGCCACCCAAGGCACCCCCACCGCCGCGCCGGACGCCGCCGAAGCGAGGUGGACGCGAUUAAACGUCAUCUACCUUUCCUUCCGAGAUCACGUUGAAGCCAUGCGAUGAUGGCCAGCUUCGCCGCUCUCUUAAGCCGCCGUCGCGCCGCCAGACCAAUUGCUCCAUUGCACCCCCUAAGGCACCUUUUCGUCCCUACGGCCACUUUCUUCGCUUUUCUAUUGUUGGUGGGGGCUAGAGAUAGAUAUCAGAGGACGGUUGCAAUUGCUGCUGCUCUUGAGCGUGCGUCGAAUCCCCUUAACGCCAGUACGAAAGGCGGCAAGAGGGGUUGCGGAUGGGGUUGUGGAUGGGGUAGCUGAAUAGACUGUUGCCUAGUCUCCGUCAACUAGGAAUAUGCAACAGCUUACACGGUGUCGAAUCAUUCGCAUUUCUCAAUGUGCCGUACGUACGAGGUGUGUUGUACGGCAUUUCCAGUUAUUUCCAGAUUGGGUUGUCAGAUGGCGGCAUGAUGACGAGGUAGUGUUUUGUGGAGCUCAUGAUGAUGCGUCGCAGCUGAUGAGUUACCAAAAAAUGGUAUAUAAUACUAAACGCAGGUCCGUGAAUAUAUUUUUGUACAGCUGGUCGGGAUUACAUACAUACAUGCGCACAUUUUCCAAGGCGCUCGAGGGAGGGAGGGAGGGAAGUCAGAGGGCCAUUUCCCUCAACCGACAAACCGACAACGCUCAACGGUGUUCCCAACGGUGUUUCCCUUCUUCGUUUUAUGUAUAUUUACGAGGGAAGAAGCUAUGGAGAGCGAGCAGUUGCUGCUGCUAUGCUGCUGCACCGCAGUACUGCUGUACGGGGAUGAUGGCGCUAGUGUACAGACUGUAGCUUGGCCUAGGAGCUAGGAACGGCCUCGCAAUUACAUUUACGUCCUUAUUGCCCUCCUCAUAUAGAUAGUUCGUUAGUUCGUUAGAUUUUGGUGGUAUGUAUGUAAGGAGGGGCCUGUGCGGCGGUGUAAGUCCAAACAGAAAGUCUGGCAUGCGUGUGCGGCAUGGACGGCACCUUGGUCGUUCUAUAGGCUUGACUUCGUCACAAGGGAGGACACCCGUUUUGUUCUCUUUUCCUUUCCUUCUUCUACCCUUAUCCUGCUAUCCAGUCUGGCGGUGUGUGCCAUGGUGUGUUAUCCGCCCAGUUGCCCGCCUCCAAGUCACAGCACGCGAGUACAUAAAUCUUCAGCCAUGCGCUUAUGUAUGCUUGUAUGUGUGUAUGUCUGUGUGCAAGUUUCCGUAUCUGCGGCUGUAAAGCAAGCUAGAAGGAAGGUAUACGGUGAUCAGUUACGGCCGCCGCUGCCAUCGCCGUGGGGCUGACCUUUCCCAUUCCCUGGAGUGGGGGUACCGAUCGGGACGCGCACACAUACACAUACACACACACACACGCGCGCAUGCGCGGGGUGCCGGGGGGGGGGACCCCGCGGUGAAAGGAGUAAUAAUGUGUUUAUCGUGCAUUAUGUAUGCCCAUGUAUGCAAAGCUGCAAAGAUGAUGUAGGUCAUUCAUAAGUUGGUUGAGAUAUAGAGAGAUGUCGGUUAGUUAGUUUGGACGAUGCAAGAUAGGCUAUGUGUAUGCGUGCGGGCGUGUGUGUGUAUGUGUGUAUGUGUGUGUAUGUGUGUGUGUAUGUGUGUAUGUGUGUGUAUGUGUGUGUAUGUGUGUGUAUGUGUGUGUAUGUGUAUGUGCGUAUGUAUGUGCGUAUGUAUGUGCGUGUGUGUAUGUGUGUAUGUGUGUCUUACAUCUUGAGGUGAGGUAUUGGCCAUGUGGCAGGCGUACAUCGCAUCAUGCAUGCAAGUAAGUUGGGCUGUAGGUCGGGAUGGGCCGUGCGGUACGGCAUUGGACGCAUUGCCCUCGUCCGCAGCUAUACUUCUUAGAUGUCUUAUGUAGAUGAAAUUUGGCCACUAGAGUUUUCGGGGAAGCCUAGGUAGCUUUACGUAGCGCCAUUCAGCACGGUCGGUCAGUGAGAGGGAUGUUAACCCCAGCCCAAGAAGUCUCUUCAUUUUUUAAAUCGUGUGGAUAGCGGGGAAAUCAAUUUGGUGCUGUUGAUGACCUUUUGCGUAAGUUUGGUGUCGAGCGGAAAGGAGUUGGUAAGGGAGAACGGUUAGGACUCUGACCGAUAUAACGGCCCUCCAAUGAUGGAGAGUGCUUCGGCGGUCGUUCCCGUUGGGAUACGACCAGCGUCAGGUCGGGAUCGACAUGUAACAGAACCAUGGCUCAUGAGAGCGUGCGCGCGUGCGACGCCUCCCACCCCCCGGUGGAGGAGAGCGGAACUAGCGGACCUGCGGCUCUCGGCUGCUUAGGAGGAGGGGACAGAGAACCCCCUCACGCCCCUUGCGCCCCGUCCGCGGGAGAGAGCUUAGGCGGUCUUUCCGUUGGGGCUGGGCUGCAGUCCCUGGCCCGGUGUCAGGCCCGGUCACAUACUCGUAACUUUCACACACAGCUACACACACACAGCCACAUACACACACACAGCCACACAGCCACACACACACACACACACACACACACACACACACACACACAGCCACACACACACACACACACACACAGCCACAUACACACACACAGCCAGCCCCCCCCCCACACACACACACGCACACGCAUACACACACAUCAGUGCAUGGGCGCAAACGAUAACAUCAUCUAAAUCUUAUCCCCCCCGGAAACAUUCGGCCUUUCGGGUUCGGUAUUCUGUCAUUCUUCUCGCGGUCACCCGAAUGCAGGAAUGGGCCGCCUGCUUACUACUUACACACAGCCUACUGAAUAUAAAUACAUGCACGUAUACAACGUAAGCAACCAAAGCCAGGCCGCGUUGUUGUGCGGCACGUAACCCCACAGCAGCCUUAACCCCAUGGCAUCUGUGGGUUGGUUUUUUUGCCACCAGAAAGUGUGGCAGGGUGGAAGCGUGGCAGGGUAGAUCGCAUGAUGACGCACAUACAUACAUACAUACUGCUCCCGGAGUGUUCGGGUUCAAAUACGCCUGCCGACCAGGGUUCGACACCCCGUACGGGGCCCGUAAGUUUUUGGCCUUUUUUCGGUAUCCCCGUCAGGGCCCGUAGGACUUUUCGGUGGCUCCCGUAAGGAUUUUGGGGCGCGAAGCGCCCCGUACGGGGCCGCCCCCGGACCGGCCGAAGGCCGGUUACGGUGGCUCCCGUAAGGAUUUUAAGGAUUGAUAAGAGGCCGUACGGGGCCCUGUAGGGGAGAAGACGGACCAUAUAAAGGAUAAGGCCACACAAUUGGCACAUAUUAUUCAUAUUGCAAUAUUUAACUACACUUUUCAUAAUACUUUUAUAACUUCUGGUCUGUAACAUCCAGCGAUGGCAGACAAUGAGUCGUCAGGAGGUGACCAAGGGCCUCCUAAUCCACCGCCCUCCAAGAAGCGCGAGAAAAUAACGAAAAUAACGAUUUACAGGGCAAAAAAAAUGCAAAGCGUCACUUUCCACAGCGUUUUAGCCAAGGACAGUGCCCCCGUAAAGGUUUUGCGGGGGUUACGGGGGCCCCCGUAAGGUUUUCGGCCGGCACAGGAGCCUGGUACGGGGGCCCCUCCGUAAGGAAAAUUUGGGAGGUACGGGGGAGCCCGCAAGUUUCAGGAAGGUCAGUGUCGAACCCUGCUGCCGACCCCUCGAAUGUUUGAGGGGUGUCGAAUCGGGAGGUGGCCCCCCAUCUUGUGGACUGUGUAGGGCGUGAUUAUAGCAAUUUGCGAGCUGACCAGGAACUUAGCUGAGGCACCGUUGAUCCGCUAGAUCUGGUAGGAUGCUGGUGGUGAGCUGCUGAACCCAACGAUUACAUUCUGAAAUCUGAUAGGGUGAACGGAUUAGGGUGGCCCUCUCGCAGGGGAGAGCAGGUAACUGCCUCGGGUAAGGGGCCCGCUGGUGAAGCUGUACCACCCUGUAACAACAAUACAUACAAACACGUACAGCGGGCACUACGAUUAGCAUGCAAUACCUGCCGUGCCCAAUUUGACGGGCGCUGCAAACUGUGGAAAACUGUGGAAAAAUGGAGACAAAGUGCUCAAUGAGCAAGCGCUAUACACUGGCGAGCGAGGGAUGUGAACCCUACGGUCGUUAGAGACGCGCGCUUGAGAGCCCCUCGAGCUGGCUGAACGAUAUGAGGUCCAUAAGAACCGCAAGCAGCCAGUAAAAGCAGCGCUGGCGGCCCCACUGCUUCCUACUAGCUAGCAAACACCAUCCCAACGCAAGCAGCACGAUAACGCAUGCAGCUAGAUGAUACUUCUCAGGUAAUUACUGGAAAUUUGAGCGAACGCAGUAAGGGGCUUUGGGACACAUGAAUGCCCACGGGAAUAUUUUUUGAAAAAUAAAUUGCUAACUGCAGUAUGGCUAUGGCUAGCUAGCCUGGGGAUGGGGAUGACAUCUAGAUGGGCCAACGUAACUGAUACUAUUUACUGCUGAUGUCGUUCUUCACAGUGCUUGCGUUGUUGUUUGGUUGCUGAGGAAACAGCCAUAAGCUGAAGUGCCGCUACAAGGGUGGUCCAUGUUAGCUGGCUGUUGCUGCGUUUCGGGGUUGGGGGCGUUAGUCCGGUUGCAUGCUUGGGUUUCGACACACGAUUCGUACCGAUGGAGAUUCGCUGCUGCUUAAUUGGGAAAAGCUGUCAUGGAUCAGGUGACAUAAAAAAGAGCGACAGAAAUUUGGCGCGCCAAUCUUAUGGACGCUUCACGCCUGGAAACCGCGAAACACUCGUGGUGUGAAGGUUGCAACUGGGACAGGAUGUUCGACAUCGAGCUGGAGGUCUUGCUCCAUUUUGUCAAAAAAACGUGUUACAACGGUUCCGACCUUGCCACACAUUCACAGAUUCCUAGCGUUAUUCCAAGCGUCAUUCAUGUACCUUAUUGUUAUUUUAUACCUCUGUGCAGCUUACUUGUUGCAAUCCAAAAGGUUCAAGGGCAUUGCGAAAAGGAUCCAACACCAAAUUCAUCUGCAGAAUAUAGACACACCAUAUCUACAACAAAUUAUAUCUAUUCCAGGAGUCGGCAUUCAGAAAGGUUGGUUGGUCUCGUAAAACAUCUUGCCGGGCUUCAUGAAAGGUGUAAUGCCGUUUAAUAUAAAAAGCGAUAACGAAUGUUAUUAAUUAAAGUAAUCGUGAGGUGACUCCCACGGCCAGAGAAUGAAACAAAGCGGCAUCAGGUCGGUGCACAUAUAAUGAAUACUUACCUCGUGCACACAACGGACAUAAACAAUCUGUGGAUUAAUUGAUGUCUAGUGCGGCCGCUGCGUCCAAACGAUGCCAUGUUUGGAUGUAUGCCUUUGGGGGACUACGUGCAGAUGUACCCACGCGCACAACUCCCAUCCUGCAUGAGACCUAGCAGCGGUAAAUGUAGCAGCGGUGGUGGCAGCGGCGGUGGUGGAGCAGCGGUGGCUGCGGGGCUGCGGGGAAACUGCAGGUCGUCGCCCCGCCAUGCCGUCCCUUGGCGAACAGUUGCAAUUUGAUAUGACUAUGCACCAUGCAUCAAGCCGUAACCGUACCGUUGCUGCGAAUUAUACACACAGAACUCCAGGAAGUCGGAUUCGUAGGGCCCCUCGGCAGCUCUACGCGAAGCAGGGGAGAAUACCAGGCAACAAUACCGCACAACUACUAAACAUGGACAAAUAUAUGCUUAAAAAUGGUCCGAUUACUUGUGCAAUUGGUCAAAAUCAUUAGACCAUUUGCUUGAUACGGUAAUGGUGCAUUUAUAUUUAAAAGCCGGAGUCGUCGGAAGGAUUUAAAAACGAAUAGGCUGGGCAAAUUUUUGCGAGCCUAGCAGCCACGAUGGUGCGCUAUUAGUGAUGUGCAAGACCAUAUCUAUUAGGUAGCAGAUAAAAGCAGGAUGUCACGCACUGACAGCAGUUAUGGCAUUCUUAGUCGUGUACCGCCUAACGUUGUACACUUCAUUUCGCCUUCGCUUAUCAUAAGCGAAGUACAAUAUUACUCGUGUACCUCAGCUGCCGAAACCGGCUAGCUACCAGACGCGUCCGUCCCCUAGCCGUACUUCCGAGGUACCGGUCGCCUUGUAAAUAGCGCUACUGGUCCAAGCCAUGUAUCAAGCUCAGUCACCGGCAGGACAGAGGUUGAUUGUAAGCUAAGCCCCGAGGAUAGCGGUUGAUUGUACUUGCUAGAUGAAGAAUGCGUCCCUGCGUACCUAACAUCGUUGCGCUAAGCGCAAUACUUAUUUGUUGCGUGCUUGGCAGGAGUGCAGCCAACGUACUUGCCGUGUCUCUUUACCAAAGUGAAUCUAAGGGAGUCAUAGAUCUGUCCUGGGACAAUGGUUCUCAGAAUUUGGAGGCUCAGCUGAAGGAUCUUGGCCUGGACGUGCACAUCGCCGUCGAUGGCCAACCGGCCGGCCUCGAAAGCGAGGACGCUAUGGAUGCAUACAUCAUUCCAGCACAGAAUGGACAAGUUCUUUACUCAAAUGCUGAGGACAUGGAACAAGUUGCCGCUUUUGUCAGCUCCGGUGGACUUGUGAUUAUUCUGGAUGCUGGCUUUGGCGAGGGCGCCACAACACGCGAUUUCGUUUCCAAGGCCUUAAAGUAUCAAGGUAAACUGAUAUUAUGUGUUUUCAUGAUUACUAUUGGUGUUGCGGCUUUGCUUAUCAUCUACCAAGCAGAUUGCUACCGAGGUUUUCUUUGUUUUUACGUAAGCCCAAAUGUUCCCAAAUGUUCCCUUGAAGCUCCCGAAUCAUACUUGCAAAUUGUUUGGUCCAUGAAUUGCAGGUGAAUGGCAAACGUGUCAGCACAUGGCUGGGCGGUCGGAGCCCCUGACGCGGCCGACCCUUAGCCGAUGGGCGUCGUCCUUCCUCCCGGACAUUCGCGGCUCAAUACCAUGGCCCCGAGAACUGGAGGUCUCUCCAGCUACAGGUCUCAGCACAUGGUGCCACCACGAGGACGUACACGCGGUUACUGUUCCCCUGUACCGUGUCAUCGGAGGCGACGCUACAUGGCUAGCAGCUCAGGUCCGUGACUCUAAUAAAUUCUUAGACCAAAGUAUAUUUAUCACAGAAUUUUGUUAUGUAUGAUAUAUGGUAAUGAGCAUGAGCAUCCAGAGCUGCUGCUGGCCUGACCGAAAUCAGCUUACAACCGUGUUGCAGGCAUCAUCAUAUCCAGUAGCAAACAGUGUUGACAAUAAAAUAUAUAAGGUAGUUCGCGAGUCAUGAUUAGGUCCCCUGAUUAUGUUUUUCCUGCUCGUCCAGUCUCACCCUUAAUUUUGCAACUGACCGUUGCCCUCCGUUGCUUAUCCCAUUCAUCUUUCUAAAGCUCGCGAAUACAAAGCAACUAGCUAUUCAGUUAAACGACGAAGGGAGGCCCCAAUCCGACAUUGUUUUAACCCUGGUUUUGAAACGUUUUACAUCGUCUACCGAAAGGCCUCACUCACCCCUGUCCUGUCCAUCACACCGCACACGCACGCAGGCGUUCGGCAAGGUCGGCAGCCCUGGCGCCGUGGUGUGGCUCGGUUACAGCUGGAAGGACGGCCCCCAGCCGCAAUGGGGCGCGCUGCUGAAGAAGCUCAUCACCGACUUCGCAAACGGUAGGUAGCCGAUGUGGGUUUCCCUGUGUGUGGGUGGUCGUUACUUUACUAGGGCAAAAGAAAUAUAAUGAAGGUACAGUACGACAGGAGGAAAGGGAAAGAGGGAGACCUGCGUCCUCGCCUCCCUGUUUCUCCCUGUGCUAAGCGUACCUGCGUCCUGUGCCGCUCUGCCGGCUGCAGGUGCGCGGGGCUCUGCUUUCAGCGGCCACCCUGUCAACCCUGUUACCUCGGGCAAGUACGGCUUGAAGCCGCAGGCGACUAAGGACAUUGAGGAGGUGCAGGAAACUGUCUUCCAUAGGGCCCUGGCGGCGGCGGCGGGGACGUAUCCACCGCCGGAAGGUCCACCGUCGCCGUCGCCGUGCCUCGCCGAUGCGCCACCGUCGCCCGCCGCCGCGCCAUCGGUACCGUCGCCGCCGCCAUCGUCGCCGCCGCCGACGCCCCGCCGUCACCGACGCCACCUUCCCCGCAAGACGAUGAUGGCAAUGAUGAUGAUACUCCUAAGACCAAGCCGCCUCCUAAGGCACGAUCCCCGCCAAAAUCGAAGCCCUCGCCGCCGCCACCCAGCGCUCCAUCACCACCGCCCAAGAAGUCGAUUCGACCACCACCCAAAAACAAAGGCAAUGAUGACCGCCGUCGCUCGCUUUUAGAGCCAGCCACCUAUCCACCUCCGCCGUCGCCGUCCUCGCCUGAUGCGCCGUCGGUUCCGUCGCCGCCGCCGCCAUCGGUACCGUCGCCGCCGCCACCGUCGCCGCCGCCGCGCCGCCGUCACCGACGCCACCAUCCCCGCAAGACGAUGAUGGCAAUGAUGAUGAUACUCCUAAGACCAAGCCGCCUCCUAAGGCACGAUCCCCGCCAAAAUCGAAGCCCUCGCCGCCGCCACCCAGCGCUCCAUCACCACCGCCCAAGAAGUCGAUUCGACCACCACCCAAAAACAAAGGCAAUGAUGACCGCCGUCGCUCGCUUUUAGAGCCAGCCACCUAUCCACCUCCGCCGUCGCCGUCCUCGCCUGAUGCGCCGUCGGUACCGUCGCCGCCGCCGCCGUCGGUACCGUCGCCGCCGCCACCGUCGCCGCCGCCGCCGUCACCGACGCCACCAUCCCCGCAAGACGAUGAUGGCAAUGAUGAUGAUACUCCUAAGACCAAGCCGCCUCCUAAGGCACGAUCCCCGCCAAAAUCGAAGCCCUCGCCGCCGCCACCCAGCGCUCCAUCACCACCGCCCAAGAAGUCGAUUCGACCACCACCCAAAAACAAAGGCAAUGAUGACCGCCGUCGCUCGCUUUUAGAGCCAGCCACCUAUCCACCUCCGCCGUCGCCGUCCUCGCCUGAUGCGCCGUCGGUACCGUCGCCGCCGCCGCCGUCGGUACCGUCGCCGCCGCCACCGUCGCCGCCGCCGCCGUCACCGACGCCACCAUCCCCGCAAGACGAUGAUGGCAAUGAUGAUGAUACUCCUAAGACCAAGCCGCCUCCUAGGACACGAUCCCCGCCAAAAUCGAAGCCCUCGCCGCCGCCACCCAGCGCUCCAUCACCACCGCCCAGGAAGUCGAUUCGACCACCACCCAAAAACAAAGGCAAUGAUGACCGCCGUCGCUCGCUUUUAGAGCCAGCCAUCUGUCCAUCGCCGCCGCCGCCGAGAGGACGAGAGGAUAGGAAACGGAAGGUACCGCCCUACCUAGGAACUGAAAAGAAUUCGCGCUUUUCGGCCCCCAUCACAACCACCACCACCACCAGGAAGGGAAGGCUAGCUUUUAGAUUUUAAGUCAUGACUGAUGCUAUUGGGAACUAACCAUAGCAGUUAAGUCCAAACCACUUUGUGUGGGAAGAAUGUACGGCCGGAGAAUGGCCCCCACGUGAAUGGUCUAAUUUGUGCGGGGAGGGCCUGCUUGGGGCUAUUCGCAAGGUGUACGGCAUCUCCUGCUGCUGGUGAUGAUGAUGCUGAUGAUGAUGAUGAUGAUGAUGAUGAUGAAGAACCGCCCUUGUUGGCCCAUCAGACAUUGAGCGCAGUAAGGGGUGAAGGUAGUGAUGUCAGUAGAUUAGUGCAGUGCGUCGUACAUUCAUGUCAGUGUACGACAUUGUUACGAGAAUGUGAUUAAUAAGUCAUUUGUGUCAUUCUCAAGGUGUCGUACCGCACGCCGUGUUAUUUUUCGCGUGUCUAAGAUUCGUUCUUUUAAGGAUAAGGUUAGCUUUGUGCAACUGAUUUGCGGUUGCGGGUUUCCUUUCCGUAAUUCAUAUCAUCAAUUCUGGGAGUCUGGGAGUUGGUAGUUUGGGAUGGCAUGGGGGUUAUUCCGAGCGAAGCCACUAGGCAGUUAGGAUGUUAAUGUAGGGCAGUAGUAGGGGGUAACAGUUGUUAAACCGGUUUCUCCUCCUGCCGCUGUCGCGCAGCUGCCAAUGCAAGCGACUUCUCUAGCAGCUCUCGUACAUCGCUCGCAGAUCUAGUCCUCAUCAAAUCCAGAUCGAAUCCAGAUCGCGUAUCCGAUCUCCAGUUUGGGGCACCAAGGCGGACAAGCGCGAUGCAUGAUUGUUGCAUGAUAAUUGUUGAGAGAUGAUGAUGAUGAUAUUUUUCUUUUAUUACUUCUCUGCACAUGAUACGGCAAGAUAUGGUAUAGCAAGAUAGGCUGAUGUGAUGCUGGGCGCGCAGGGCUGAUGCGAGUGUGGGGGGGCAUAAGAGCGAGUGCGCAGGAGUUCAACCGCGAGCCGGCAUAGCGUAUGCACUGGCGCGAUAUUAGUUUUAAUAUGAUGCGACCAUAAAUAAAGCGCUGCGUGUACUGUACUCCGUGUCUGCCCUUUGCUUAUUGCUCUUCGAGUGCGCCCAUGAUGAUCGAGGCCAGCAGCCGCAGCAGCCAGCUCUGUAUGUAUGAUGUGUGAAACAGGGGGGUGUAUCUUCGCCCGUGGCAGC
Molecule: long non-coding RNA, 12003 nt
Filed under: Volvox carteri
Lineage: Eukaryota; Viridiplantae; Chlorophyta; Chlorophyceae; Chlamydomonadales; Volvocaceae
Description: long non-coding RNA (VCAR_LNC003216)
Source: RNAcentral